GAUCAUGGCUCAGGAUGAACGCUGGCGGCGUGCCUAACACAUGCAAGUCGAGCGAAGCGGUUUUAAGGAAGUUUUCGGAUGGAAUUAAAACUGACUGAGCGGCGGACGGGUGAGUAACGCGUGGGUAACCUGCCUCAUACAGGGUGGAUAACAGUUAAGAAAUGGCUGCUAAUACCGCAUAAGCACACAGCUUCGCAUGGAGCAGUGUAGAAAACUCCGGUGGUAUGAGAUCGGACCCG
This 239-nucleotide ribosomal RNA is filed under the name uncultured bacterium. RNAcentral describes it as "partial 16S ribosomal RNA". It matches the Rfam family "Bacterial small subunit ribosomal RNA", at positions 15 to 233 of the family's 1533-position model. The record is from RNAcentral.